GUUCAAUAAACACAAUAGAACUUGAGUUUAUGUGUCUAAUAGAAAUAACCUUUUAGAUAUCCAAAUUAAAAAAACAAUGGACAAAUUUAUGGGACUAUCAGGAUACAAAUAAAAUAAGCAAAUGUGUACGUCAAAAUUCACGUAAAUGUAUGAUUUUAUAUACAAAAUCUUAGAGUGAAAGUUUAUUUUCCACCGACUACCAAAGGAUCCGAAAAUAUAGUACUCUUCCUUUCUU
Molecule: long non-coding RNA, 235 nt
Filed under: Nicotiana benthamiana
Lineage: Eukaryota; Viridiplantae; Streptophyta; Magnoliopsida; Solanales; Solanaceae
Description: long non-coding RNA (NBEN_LNC034801)
Source: RNAcentral